Molecule: ribosomal RNA, 717 nt
Filed under: Mycobacterium tuberculosis
Lineage: Bacteria; Bacillati; Actinomycetota; Actinomycetes; Mycobacteriales; Mycobacteriaceae
Description: partial 23S ribosomal RNA
Rfam family: Bacterial large subunit ribosomal RNA
Source: RNAcentral
UUGUAAGUGUCUAAGGGCGCAUGGUGGAUGCCUUGGCAUCGAGAGCCGAUGAAGGACGUGGGAGGCUGCGAUAUGCCUCGGGGAGCUGUCAACCGAGCGUGGAUCCGAGGAUUUCCGAAUGGGGAAACCCAGCACGAGUGAUGUCGUGCUACCCGCAUCUGAAUAUAUAGGGUGCGGGAGGGAACGCGGGGAAGUGAAACAUCUCAGUACCCGUAGGAGGAGAAAACAAUUGUGAUUCCGCAAGUAGUGGCGAGCGAACGCGGAACAGGCUAAACCGCACGCAUGGGUAACCGGGUAGGGGUUGUGUGUGCGGGGUUGUGGGAGGAUAUGUCUCAGCGCUACCUGGCUGAGAGGCAGUCAGAAAGUGUCGUGGUUAGCGGAAGUGGCCUGGGAUGGUCUGCCGUAGACGGUGAGAGCCCGGUACGCGAAAACCCGGCACCUGCCUAGUAUCAAUUCCCGAGUAGCAGCGGGCCCGUGGAAUCCGCUGUGAAUCCGCCGGGACCACCCGGUAAGCCUAAAUACUCCUCGAUGACCGAUAGCGGAUUAGUACCGUGAGGGAAUGGUGAAAAGUACCCCGGGAGGGGAGUGAAAGAGUUCCUGAAACCAUGCGCUUACAAUCCGUCAGAGCACCUUUGUGUGUGUGAUGGCGUGCCUUUUGAAGAAUGAGCCUGCGAGUCAGCGGCAUGUCGCGAGGUUAACCCGUUGGUGGGGUAGUCG